AACAUGCCUGGCUUCAAGGACCCCCCACCUUGGGUCCAUUAAUUCCACCUGGGGCGCAAUAAAUUUUCCCUUCCUUUGAGAAAGCUUGGCCUGGCUCUUCUUUACCUCACCAAACCUUUCACACACAACUCAGAAAUCCACCUAGGCCGUGCCUGAGGUACAAAAAGGACGGCCACUGGAAAAGGGAUUGUCCCCUUCUCUGAAGGGAGGAGCCACCAGACCCCAGCCUGUUCCUCCUGGAUGACCAGUGACACCUCCUGGAUGACAAAUGAUGGGGCCCAAGGAUGUCGCCAGCUCCCCAGCUGACCAUCUCCAUGGCUGAGCCUGGGGUAACCCUGGAAGUCCCAGGAAGUGCACAGUAUUCAGAAAAAAGAGUAAUUGAGUCUACAUCAAAGAAGCAAAAAUUUCAAGAUGACGUCUAUAGCCUCAACUGCAAGUUACUUAGCAGUACUGAGUUCCUCACAGGUGUGACGAACAUAUGACGCUUACAAGUAAAAUUGAAAACAUGAAGGUGGCUGCGAGCGCUGUGAGUGAAAGAGGCUGAGGCACAUGGUGAGCGGUAAAGACUGAUACAGCAGACUGUGCCUGGG
Molecule: long non-coding RNA, 590 nt
Organism: Talpa occidentalis (Iberian mole)
Lineage: Eukaryota; Metazoa; Chordata; Mammalia; Eulipotyphla; Talpidae
Exons: 4
Source: RefSeq, a predicted model, not a curated record